UACGGGAGGCAGCAGUGGGGAAUAUUGCACAAUGGGCGAAAGCCUGAUGCAGCUAUGCCGCGUGUAUGAAGAAGGCCUUAGGGUUGUAAAGUACUUUCAUCGGGGAGGAAAAACAAAACUAAUAAUUUUAUUUCUUGACGUUACCCGAAAAAGAAGCACCGGCUAACUCCGUGCCAGCAGCCGCGGUAAUACGGAGGGUGCUAGCGUUAAUCAGAAUUACUGGGCGUAAAGAGCACGUAGGUUGGUUUUUUAAGUCAGAUGUGAAAUCCCUGGGCUUAACCUAGGAACUGCAUUUUGAAACUGAAAUACUAGAGUAUCGUAGAGGGAGGUAGAAUUCUAGGUGUAGCGGUGAAAUGCGUAGAUAUCUGGAGGAAUACCUGUGGCGAAAGCGGCCUCCUAAACGAAUACUGACACUGAGGUGCGAAAGCGUGGGGAGCAAACAGGGAUUAGAUACC
Molecule: ribosomal RNA, 455 nt
Filed under: uncultured bacterium
Lineage: Bacteria
Description: bacterial SSU rRNA
Rfam family: Bacterial small subunit ribosomal RNA
Source: RNAcentral